Molecule: transfer RNA, 75 nt
Filed under: Campylobacter sp. RM5004
Lineage: Bacteria; Pseudomonadati; Campylobacterota; Epsilonproteobacteria; Campylobacterales; Campylobacteraceae
Also listed under: 14 other names
Description: tRNA-Val
Rfam family: tRNA
About the family: Transfer RNA (tRNA) molecules are approximately 80 nucleotides in length. Their secondary structure includes four short double-helical elements and three loops (D, anti-codon, and T loops).
Source: RNAcentral
GACCCCGUAACUCAGUGGUAGAGUGUUACCUUGACAUGGUAAAAGUCGUUGGUUCAAGUCCAAUCGGGGUCACCA